This 305-nucleotide ribosomal RNA is filed under the name uncultured bacterium. RNAcentral's name for it is "bacterial SSU rRNA". It matches the Rfam family "Bacterial small subunit ribosomal RNA", at positions 334 to 656 of the family's 1533-position model. The record is from RNAcentral.
GAGCCCUACGGGACGCAGCAGUAGGGAAUAUUGCUCAAUGGGGGAAACCCUGAAGCAGCAACGCCGCGUGGAGGAUGAAGGUUUUAGGAUUGUAAACUCCUUUUGUUAGAGAAGAUUAUGACGGUAUCUAACGAAUAAGCACCGGCUAACUCCGUGCCAGCAGCCGCGGUAAUACGGAGGGUGCAAGCGUUACUCGGAAUCACUGGGCGUAAAGAGUGCGUAGGCGGGGGAAUAAGUCAGAUGUGAAAUCCUGUAGCUUAACUACAGAACUGCAUUUGAAACUGUUUCUCUGGCGGGUGGGAGCG